RNAcentral lists this ribosomal RNA (434 nucleotides) under uncultured Clostridium sp. RNAcentral's name for it is "partial 16S ribosomal RNA". It matches the Rfam family "Bacterial small subunit ribosomal RNA", at positions 341 to 792 of the family's 1533-position model. Lineage: Bacteria; Bacillati; Bacillota; Clostridia; Eubacteriales; Clostridiaceae. The record is from RNAcentral.
ACGGGAGGCAGCAGUGGGGAAUAUUGGACAAUGGGGGAAACCCUGAUCCAGCGACGCCGCGUGAGUGAAGAAGUAUUUCGGUAUGUAAAGCUCUAUCAGCAAGAAAGAAAAUGACGGUACUUGACUAAGAAGCCCCGGCUAACUACGUGCCAGCAGCCGCGGUAAUACGUAGGGGGCAAGCGUUAUCCGGAUUUACUGGGUGUAAAGGGAGCGUAGACGGCGAUGCAAGUCUGAAGUGAAAGCCCGGGGCUCACCCCCGGAACUGCUUUGGAAACUGUAUAGCUAGAGUGCAGGAGAGGUAUGUGGAAUUCCUAGUGUAGCGGUGAAAUGCGUAGAUAUUAGGAGGAACACCAGUGGCGAAGGCGACAUACUGGACUGUAACUGACGUUGAGGCUCGAAGGCGUGGGGAGCAAACAGGAUUAGAUACCCUGGUA